GGGGAAACUGGCUGUGACAUCUGUCCACACAUUGAUUUCCAGGGUUGAUGCAGAAUGUCUGAGCUGAUUGUAGGUCUCCCCACCACCCCAUUUGUGUCCCUUCCAGAGUACAUUCUCAUUCAGAGUAAAUGAGCUUCUGACAGAGGACCAGUCAUGAAGGGUAUUUAAAAGGUAUAACCCUUGGCUCAAGUCUUGAGAAGUGAUCAUAAUUUAUUCAAAUACAUAUAAAUCUAU
This 234-nucleotide small RNA is filed under the name Otolemur garnettii (small-eared galago). Its description in RNAcentral is "7SK RNA (ENSOGAG00000025606.1)". Lineage: Eukaryota; Metazoa; Chordata; Mammalia; Primates; Galagidae. The record is from RNAcentral.